UAGGUCAAUCGGAAAAGAGAAAAUAGGAAAGUCUGAAUAUAGGGAGACAGAAAAAUCAAAGAAUCCAGAAGGACCCAAGAAGCUAUAGAGGAAAGAGAAGAAGAAGAAGAAGAGGAGGAGGAGGAAGCAAACAAGUCCCCUGUGUCAUCAAGAUCAAGGUCGAGGUCCGCCGCGUGCCCUGAAGAGCCCUGGCAGGCUGGCAGUGUUUCUCGUGGAGGAGGAGGAGGAGCCCCUCGGCGUGCAGGCCCCCAGGCACAUGACUUUGCAUCCCAAUGUCCACCACUGAUGUUAGUGUUGAAGUGAGGCAUCGAGACAGUUGCUGUCCUCAGUACUUCUUCCGCCCUUGCUGCCGCUGACUUCAGGACUCCUUGGUGCUUCCCACGCCUUGCCUGCUCAAUUGGUCACUGAGUGUGGCUUUGAAGCAACCUUGCCACCUUCUCCAGCAUCUCUGAGGUUCCUCAAGGCCAGCCAACUCCUCACAUCCAGAGUAGUGUUGCAGUGGAGGCUGCAAGGCGGGACAGCAGCUUGAGUGGCUGGGAUCAGCAGGAGCAGACUGCUGCUGGUGUGAGGUUCAGGAGUGAUAAAAAACACCACCAACACAACCACCACCACCAACAACAACAACUGCUGGCCUCUUCAUCCACAAAGGGGAGAGUUUGAAUUUCAGAAGUGAGAGAAGAUCUGAGAAUGAGAACAAGUUUACUGACCAAAGCCAAGAGUGUGAGAAAAGACAUGCAGGGAAGGAUGACCUCAACAAAUACACCCACACACUCUGGUGUAAGACCUCAUGAAAGGCAGGAGUGUGGCAAAAGGUUUAGUAAUAGGAGUAACCCCAAACAUCACACCCUUACACACACCGGUGCAAGAAAUCAUGAGUGUGAAGUUUGUGGGAAAUGUUUCAGUGAGAAGAGUAUCCUCAACACACACACCCUUACACACACCAGUGCAAGAAAUCACGAGUGUGAAGUUUGUGGGAAAUGUUUCAGUCGCAAGGGUAACCUCAAAUUACACACUCUUACACACACCGGUGCAAAAAAAUACGAGUGUGAAGUUUGUGGGAAAUGUUUCAGUCAGAAGGGUACCCUCAACACACACACCCUUACACACACCAGUGCAAGAAAUCAUGAGUGUGAAGUUUGUGGGAAAUGUUUCAGUCGGAAGAGUACCCUCAAAUUACACACUCUUACACACACUGAUGCAAGCAAUCAUGAGUGUGAAGUUUGUGGGAAAUGUUUCAGUCGAAAGGGUACCCUCAAAUUACACACCCUUACACACACUGGUGAAAGAAAUCAUGAGUGUGAAGUUUGUGGAAAAUGUUUCAUUGAGAAGGGUACCCUCAAGAAACACACCCUUACACACACUGGUGAAAGAAAUCAUGAGUGUGAGGUUUGUGGGAAAUGUUUCAGUCUGAAGAGUACCCUCAAGAAACACACCCUUACUCACACUGGUGAAAGAAAUCAUGAGUGUGAAGUUUGUGGAAAAUGUUUCAUUGAGAAGGGUACCCUCAAGAAACACACCCUUACACAUACUGGUGAAAGAAAUCAUGAGUGUGAUGUUUGUGGGAAAUGUUUCAGUCUGAAGAAUAACCUCAAAUUACACACCCUUACACACACUGGUGAAAGAAAUCAUGAGUGUGAAGUUUGUGGAAAAUGUUUCAGUCAGAAGGGUAACCUCAAGAAACACACCCUUACACACACUGAUGCAAGCAAUCAUGAGUGUGAAGUUUGUGGGAAAUGUUUCAGUCGAAAGGGUACCCUCAAAUUACACACCCUUACACACACUGGUGAAAGAAAUCAUGAGUGUGAAGUUUGUGGAAAAUGUUUCAUUGAGAAGGGUACCCUCAAGAAACACACCCUUACACACACUGGUGAAAGAAAUCAUGAGUGUGAGGUUUGUGGGAAAUGUUUCAGUCUGAAGAGUAACCUCAAGAAACACACCCUUACUCACACUGGUGAAAGAAAUCAUGAGUGUGAAGUUUGUGGAAAAUGUUUCAUUGAGAAGGGUACCCUCAAGAAACACACCCUUACACAUACUGGUGAAAGAAAUCAUGAGUGUGAAGUUUGUGGGAAAUGUUUCAGUCUGAAGAAUAACCUCAAAUUACACACUCUUACACACACUGGUGAAAGAAAUCAUGAGUGUGAAGUUUGUGGAAAAUGUUUCAGUCAGAAGGGUAACCUCAAAGUACACACUGUUACACACACUGAUGCAAGAAGUCAUGAGUGUGAAGUUUGUGGGAAAAGAUUCAAACUGAAGAGGAUAUUGGACCUGCACCUCUUCAGACACUCUGGUCAUAAAGGGUUCAAGUGCGAUGUUUGUGGGAAACGUUUCAUGACUAAGGGUGAGAUUGCCAGGCACAUGAAGGUCCACUUCUCCUGAGGUGCUGUGCUGAUUCAGUUCUGCUGUGUGUGUGAGUGCAAGUGUUUGUUGUGGUGGUGUUACAGGGCUGUGUGUAGCACAGAGAACAGAAAAUAUUCAUCUAUUGGAACAAAUGGUGACUGUGACGGCAUGAUCUGUUGUAACGGGGUACGGGGUGCGUUUAAAGGGCGUUGAUUAAGACUUCAGCUUCCUUAAGGCGAUUAUAUUCUUAGCCUAUAUGUACAAGGAGCGUUGGAGCGAGAGCGACUGCCGUUGUGUGUCAGUCGGACUCUCUUGAAGGAGUGAUGAGUUACAGGUUGGAAAAUAAUUGUUACAAUUGGUCACGUAUGUCAAGGUGACUUUCAAGCUUGAUGAAAUGCUAUGACUAUACUAUAACACUGUUAUUCACUUUCCAUUCUACGCUACAUGUGGUUGGUGGGUCCUGUGAAAGGUCUGAUCUUUUUGGUGACUGUGCUGGGCUGGCUGUUGUGGCCUGGGCUUAUUGGUCAAGUGUGUGUGUGUUAAUAAUAAUAAUAUAGUGUAUUUGGUCUUACCAGCCGCUAAGCUAAAAAUGUACACAUUAUAAACACAUUGUAAAGAACAAGUACAAAAUGACGGUUUAGGGGUUCAGGGAUCUAACGCAGCAGUGGGUGGUUGGAAUGAUGGUGGUGGGAGGGUGGAGUGCAGUGUGGUGGUGCUGGGGAUGGGGAGGACAUCCUCUUCCAGAUGGUGGCAAGGUGUUAGUCCCAGGUCAUCCUUAGGUCAGACGCUGAUGGUGGGAUUCAGGCAGAGCAGUGGGAGGUAACUCAGGCCACAGACUGAACACUGUUGUGCCAUACCCUGGGCUGGUGGGACAAGAGAGGGGGGUGGUUGGGGGGACAAGGGCACAGCCUUGGCAGGGGGGGUGUACAUUGUGCUCCACUUGAGUGACAAGGCUCCAACACAGCACUCACCAAAGCAGAGCAGGCCUUUCCUGGCAGCAGGGUGGGCAGGAUGACAGUACUGUAUGCAAACCACACCAAACUGGCAAUUGGGAGGGGUAACUGAUGUCUUAGGGUGUUGUCACUUUCCUGUUUUCAACCUUGUGAUGUCUCAUCUCAACAAGCAAGUCAAAUACCACGGCAGCCUUGGGGGGGGCACAACAGCAGUGUCACCACUUCCUUAGAGGGAUGAGAGAAGUAACGGGAGAAAGGAAUAAGGGAGAAGUUUGGUAAUGCAGAGGCGAUUUAUCAAUUCUCUCCAUACACUCCCGUCUUCUCAUUCUUCCCUCCCCUACUUCUCUUGGGUGUUCUACCACCCUGUCCCCCCUCCCCCCAUCCCCUCUCUUCCCCCAAUCAGAAUUAUAACAGGUUGCAUUUACAUGUGUCUUGUAUGCUCUCAAAUCUCAGUGUACCACUUGGGAAUUUAUGUAAAGAUAAAAAAGCAUUCCGAGA
This is an RNA transcript of Eriocheir sinensis (Chinese mitten crab), 3788 nucleotides long. It is a transcript of the gene named zinc finger protein OZF-like, with no coding region annotated. The record is from RefSeq and is a predicted model, not a curated record. Lineage: Eukaryota; Metazoa; Arthropoda; Malacostraca; Decapoda; Varunidae. The transcript has 3 exons.